CCAUAUUCACUUUCUCUCUCUCUCUCUCUCUCUCUCUCUCUCUCUCUCUCUCUCUCUUUCUCUUUCACACACACACACACACACACACGAGAGAGAGAGAGAGAGAGAGAGAGAGAGAGAGAGAGAGAGAAAGAAUGAGAGA
Molecule: microRNA precursor, 142 nt
Filed under: Marmota monax (woodchuck)
Lineage: Eukaryota; Metazoa; Chordata; Mammalia; Rodentia; Sciuridae
Source: RNAcentral